CCAACGGCCCUUUUUAGGGCCACCACAAGUUACUGAAUUGACGGUCU
Molecule: non-coding RNA, 47 nt
Organism: Daphnia magna
Lineage: Eukaryota; Metazoa; Arthropoda; Branchiopoda; Diplostraca; Daphniidae
Source: Rfam